Molecule: long non-coding RNA, 229 nt
Organism: Drosophila serrata
Lineage: Eukaryota; Metazoa; Arthropoda; Insecta; Diptera; Drosophilidae
Source: RefSeq, a predicted model, not a curated record
UCUCUUUUUUACAUGAACUCCGCAUACAGAAACACCGAAAAGUGUAAUGGAAUAAGAAAAAAUAAGCACUUGGCUUACUGUGUUUUUUUACACACUCGUCUGAGCAAACGCUCUGAGUGAUCGAUUACAUACAAACAUACAAGUGCAUUUAUGUUGAUUUAAGCUCUUUAAACACCAUCAGACGGGGGAAGUGGCGACUUCUUUUCGAGACGCGGAACAGGCAUUGUAG